AUUGAACGCUGGCGGCAGGCCUAACACAUGCAAGUCGAACGGUAACAGGAAGAAGCUUGCUUCUUUGCUGACGAGUGGCGGACGGGUGUGUAAUGUCUGGGAAACUGCCUGAUGGAGGGGGAUAACUACUGGAAACGGUAGCUAAUACCGCAUAACGUCGCAAGACCAAAGAGGGGGACCUUCGGGCCUCUUGCCAUCGGAUGUGCCCAGAUGGGAUUAGCUAGUAGGUGGGGUAACGGCUCACCUAGGCGACGAUCCCUAGCUGGUCUGAGAGGAUGACCAGCCACACUGGAACUGAGACACGGUCCAGACUCCUACGGGAGGCAGCAGUGGGGAAUAUUGCACAAUGGGCGAAAGCCUGAUGCAGCCAUGCCGCGUGUAUGAAGAAGGCCUUCGGGUUGUAAAGUACUUUCAGCGGGGAGGAAGGGAGUAAAGUUAAUACCUUUGCUCAUUGACGUUACCCGAAGAAGAAGCACCGGCUAAGUCCGUG
Molecule: ribosomal RNA, 490 nt
Filed under: uncultured bacterium
Lineage: Bacteria
Description: partial 16S ribosomal RNA
Rfam family: Bacterial small subunit ribosomal RNA
Source: RNAcentral